CGCGCCGGCACUGGGAGUGCGCGCUGUGACCCCCAGAGGCACGGCUCGCCGGGGCGGCCCCCUCCCUCGUCCUCGAACUCCACUUUCAGCGUGAGCUAGAAACAGACACCCGAGAGGAGAGAACAGGCGCUCACAAAGAUUCCGGCGAACGGAGCCCUUCGCUCUUCUUUACUGAUCUCUAAGAAUCCGCCAUCUCCAGCCCCGACAGUACCCCUUCCUCGGUUUUCAUUCCGCAGUUCUGCGGACUCUGCUGUGGAAUACCUCCCUGCACCCCAGUUUUUCCGACGACCUUAACCUCGGCCAACGUGCGUUCCAGGGCAGGGUUGGAGCUUUGAAAGGUCAUCUGGGGAGGCUUUAGCAUCCCUCCCAACACCCCCGAAGUGAACGUACAAUCUAAGUGGAAAAUAAAAACCUGUGUGCAGUACA
Molecule: non-coding RNA, 426 nt
Organism: Kogia breviceps (pygmy sperm whale)
Lineage: Eukaryota; Metazoa; Chordata; Mammalia; Artiodactyla; Physeteridae
Source: RefSeq, a predicted model, not a curated record